UGGGGAAUAUUGCACAAUGGGGGAAACCCUGAUGCAGCAACGCCGCGUGAAGGAAGACGGUUUUCGGAUUGUAAACUUCUGUUCUUAGUGAAGAAUAAUGACGGUAGCUAAGGAGCAAGCCACGGCUAACUACGUGCCAGCAGCCGCGGUAAUACGUAGGUGGCAAGCGUUGUCCGGAAUUACUGGGUGUAAAGGGAGCGUAGGCGGGAUGCCAAGUCAGCUGUGAAAACUAUGGGCUUAACCUGUAGACUGCAGUUGAAACUGGUAUUCUUGAGUGAAGUAGAGGUUGGCGGAAUUCCGAGUGUAGCGGUGAAAUGCGUAGAUAUUCGGAGGAACACCGGUGGCGAAGGCGGCCAACUGGGCUUUAACUGACGCUGAGGCUCGAAAGUGUGGGGAGCAAACAGGAUUAGAUACCCUGGUAGUCCACACUGUAAACGAUGAUAACUAGGUGUGGGGGGUCUGACCCCUUCCGUGCCGCAGCUAACGCAAUAAGUUAUCCACCUGGGGAGUACGGCCGCAAGGUUGAAACUCAAAGGAAUUGACGGGGGCCCGCACAAGCAGUGGAGUAUGUGGUUUAAUUCGACGCAACGCGAAGAACCUUACCAGGGCUUGACAUACAGAUGAAUAUACUAGAGAUAGUAUAGCUCUUCGGAGCAUCUGUACAGGUGGUGCAUGGUUGUCGUCAGCUCGUGUCGUGAGAUGUUAGGUUAAGUCCUGCAACGAGCGCAACCCCUGUGAUUAGUUGCCAACAGGUAAAGCUGGGAACUCUAAUCAGACUGCCGGUGAUAAAUCGGAGGAAGGUGGGGAUGACGUCAAAUCAUCAUGCCCUUUAUGUCCUGGGCUACACACGUACUACAAUGGCUGUAACAGAGAGAAGCAAAACAGUGAUGUUGAGCAAAACUUUAAAAAGCAGUCUCAGUUCGGAUUGAAGGCUGAAAUUCGCCUUCAUGAAGCCGGAAUUGCUAGUAAUGGCAGGUCAGCAUACUGCCGUGAAUACGUUCCC
This 1003-nucleotide ribosomal RNA is filed under the name uncultured bacterium. RNAcentral describes it as "bacterial SSU rRNA". It matches the Rfam family "Bacterial small subunit ribosomal RNA", at positions 355 to 1375 of the family's 1533-position model. The record is from RNAcentral.